Molecule: transfer RNA, 64 nt
Filed under: Cichlidogyrus sclerosus
Lineage: Eukaryota; Metazoa; Platyhelminthes; Monogenea; Dactylogyridea; Ancyrocephalidae
Description: tRNA-Pro
Source: RNAcentral
CAGCUUAAUAGUUUAAUCAAAAUAUUAUUUUUGGGGAGUAAAGAUCUUUUGUAAAGUUAGCUGG